CAGGGGCGGCGGCAGCGGUCAGGGGCGCCGGCAGAUGGCACGGGCGGCGGCACCGGUCAGGGGCGCCGGCAGAUGGCAGGGGGGCGGCGGAGGUCAGGAGCGGCGGAGGAUGUCAGGGAUGGCGGAAUGUAGGGGAGGCGGCGGCGCAGGCAAGAUCCAGCCGGUGGAAGUCCGGCCGGUAGAGAUGGCAGGGGAGAAGGUGUGGCCGGGACUUGGUGCGCCGGGAGAGGGGUGGCGGAUGGGGGGAAGGAGGCGGCGGCGGAGGCGAGAUCCAGCCCCUGGAAGGUCCGGCGGCGGCGAGAUCCAGCCGGUGGAAGGUCCGGCCGGGAGAGAUGGCAGGGGAGAAGGUGCGGCCGGGAGAUGGUGCGCCGGGAGAGCGGUGAAAAACCCUAGAGCGCGAGGGAAGGGGACGGCGGGGAUGGGAUGUUUGGGCUUUUGAG
Molecule: long non-coding RNA, 440 nt
Filed under: Setaria viridis
Lineage: Eukaryota; Viridiplantae; Streptophyta; Magnoliopsida; Poales; Poaceae
Description: long non-coding RNA (SVIR_LNC008327)
Source: RNAcentral